GGCAAGGUGUUUACUUUUGGAGAGGGACGCCACGGCCAGCUCGGUCACAACUCCACUGAUAAUGAGCUGAAACCUCGGUGGGUCCAGGGCCUGGAUGGAGUCAUCUCACAGGUUGCAUGUGGCAGGCGUCACACCCUGGCUUUGGGCUCCUCAGGCCAGCUGUGGGCUUUUGGCAAUGGGGUCAAAGGUCAGCUUGGGACUGGAGGUUCAGAAAGCAGCUUGACUCCCACGUUGGUGCGGCUUCCAUGGAUCACCGACGCUGCAGCGGCCACACCCAAAAACUUGAAAAUAGCAGCUGGAUGGAACACAAACUUCAUUCACACUGUACCAGAGGAGACUCUGGAGCGAGAGCUGCCAGUGGGGAGGCUGGAUGAGACAAAGCUGC
Molecule: long non-coding RNA, 385 nt
Filed under: Myripristis murdjan (pinecone soldierfish)
Lineage: Eukaryota; Metazoa; Chordata; Actinopteri; Holocentriformes; Holocentridae
Description: lncRNA (ENSMMDG00005020826.1)
Source: RNAcentral